AUGCUGCCAGUCAAUCCUACACAGUAUUAAGUCUUAAAAUUCCCAUUAUGCUGUAUAUGGGAUGAGCUACUAUCAAGCUACACCUUAAUUAUAUUGCACUUCCCGUGUUUAUCACUGAACUUUAUUUUUUAAAUGUUGUUAAUGUUUGUAUAGCUAUGACCUACCUGCUUGGGAUGCGAUCAUCAGAGCAGUGUUACCUUCGUUGUCCUGCUGAUUUAUGUCUAUAUAGGGACAGGUGUAGAGUCCAUGCACAAUGUCAAUGAAACCUUUGCAGCAAGCCAACAUCAAGCCAUUCUGUUUGGGAUUUACAACGAUAAGGAUUAAUGCCUGUGUUUUUGUUUACGAUAAUGUGAGCUAUGAUUUACAGAUUCUGAAUAUACACAUUAAUGAACGAGACUCUCACCCAGCCAUUGAUGUCCAGCUCUGUGGCCUCCUCUUUUGUGACCCCCCUCUCCAGAAUUCUUCUCAGAGCAAAGGGUUCGUUGCGGGCGCAUGCUCGAUAAAGUGUCGGCUCCCCACGGCUGUCUGUCCUCUCCGGCGUGUAGUCUGGGAGCACCGAGUCGUCAGAGAGGAUGCUGUCUGAAUCAGACUCGCUCCCCAACAGAGACUCAUCGUCCUCAUCUGUGCCGGAGCCCAGGUGGGGGUCAUGCGCUGCAGUGGCCAUCUUCCAAGAGCAGGACAGACUGAAAUUAGCCCAUGGGACCUGUGGGACGUGGCUGGACCUGUUGGGACAGAUUGACCCUCCUUUUACCCAGAAGGGCCUGAGGACACAUCCCUCUGCAGCUGAACAGCUGUCCUCAUCUGCCCGGAGGAGAAGAAGACCUGGUACAGAGCAGAGGUUUCAGACACCAGCCGGGAGAAACUUGUAUCCGAUGAAAACAAUCAGGACAUCCAGACGCCGUUCAAGUGGGCCAGAAGGACCAGUGUGG
Molecule: long non-coding RNA, 929 nt
Organism: Eleginops maclovinus (Patagonian blennie)
Lineage: Eukaryota; Metazoa; Chordata; Actinopteri; Perciformes; Eleginopidae
Exons: 3
Source: RefSeq, a predicted model, not a curated record